This is an RNA transcript of Manduca sexta (tobacco hornworm), 4678 nucleotides long. It is a transcript of the gene named guanine nucleotide exchange factor DBS, with no coding region annotated. The transcript has 21 exons. The record is from RefSeq and is a predicted model, not a curated record. NCBI's taxonomy places the organism in Eukaryota, Metazoa, Arthropoda, Insecta, Lepidoptera, Sphingidae.
CACUUCGCUAUUGAACAGUCUCAGUAGUUCGAGGCGGUACGCGGUUUUCUUUGAUAAUGUAUACAAAUUCGGGUCGAUGUACGAAAACUAUGAAAGAAUGACGUAUAAUAUAAUUAUGCAAUGCGAAUUAUUUGGGAUUUCGCGGAAAUAUGUACACGUUGAUUGUGGGAGAAAAUACGAUGUGAGCGAUAUGCCUUGAGGCUAGUGUGUUGUGUUUGUUUUCGGUGUUUCGGUGGUAACGAUGGCGAACUCUCCGACCAGCAUAGAAACGCAGAUAGAUAGUUUCCUGGAGCAGUUUAAGAGGAGUGCUUCGAAGGCUAUGGAGGAACGGAUGGAUUGGCCCGAUGGCACGUCGCCGGGAGUCGUCAAGUCCCGCAGUAGCUGUUUCACAUUGGAUGUAGCGGCUGAAGCGGAGUGCGAUGGGUGCGGCGGCGACGGCGACGAGGGCCGGCAGGUGGGCGAGCUGCUGCUGCCGCAGUACGCGCUCGCGACCGGCGGCCUGGCGCGCGACCACCGCCCGCUCAUCACCUUCCCCGACAACAACAACUUCCACGUCAUCACCGCGCCAGAGUACCGCCGGCUACUGCUCUACCUCACUUCAGUGCCCUCAUUAUUAGAAGCUGAUAUGGGCUUCCAUAUAAUUAUAGACCGAAGAAAGGACAGAUGGAAUUCUGUUAAAACAGUAUUAUUAAGGAUCUCUGAAUUUUUCCCGGGCAUCAUACACGCCGUGUAUGUCCUUCGUCCAGCGAGUUUCCUACAGAAAGCGCUGUCUGAAGUGAGCAGCAAACUGUUCAAGGAAGAGUUCAGGUUCAAGGUGCUAGUGUGCUCGUCUGUUGAGGAGUUGUACGACCACUUCGACAGGUCGCAACUGACGCCUGACCUCGGUGGGGAAUUACAGUAUUCACACUCAGAAUGGAUACAACAGCGAAUAGCGUUAGAGAAAUUCUCGGUCCUGAUGAAGGAGAUCUCGAGCAAACUGGACGACUUCAUGCACGAGAUAGUGGACUGCGAUAUGGGCAACGACCCUACACAAACCAAAGAAUUAUUAGACUGUCAGGAAUCUAGUUAUAAAGCUUUAAAAAGUGAGUUGUCGUCGGCGACUACGCAAGGCGAGGAGUUGCUGGCGCAAGUGCGGAAACCAAAUCUUACUUAUAACAUUAUAAGCCACGUCGCUGCUGUGGAGAGGUUGUUGGUACAAUUAGAAGAGACUGAGAAACAAUUCGAUAACUUCUGGCAAAAACAUUCCACGAAACUAAAACACUGGUUGAAGUUUAGAACAUUUUUAUUGAACUUUAAACAGAUGCAGGCUACUUUAGACGGCCAUCUAAAGACUGCUUGCGAUAUGACGGAGGUAGGAGAGACAGCCAGUCGCGUCGAGAGCCUUAUAUCCGAGGCCAGCGAUUUCGAGAAAAUUUGUAACUGUGAUCUAGACACCGCUUCAGCAGUCAUUGAUGACGGUGAAACCUUAAUGCAAGAUCCUUUAAGCUCAGUAGAUCACAUAGAGUCGAAAUGCGAGGAACUGCGACGAACGAGCGCCCUGCUUAUCGAAAAAAUUCAAAAACGAAAUCUGCUUCUCGCUAAAGCGCGGGAACUUAUGGACAGGAUAGAUAAGGCGAACGAGUGGUGCGCGACGGGCGUCGAGAUACUCGCCGGUGAGGCGGGACUCAUCGCCGUCGACAAGCUGCUCGACGACGCGCAGGCGUUCGGCCUCACCGCGCCGGACCAGUUCCGCGACAUGCUCAUGCAAUCCGCCACCCAGGAGACCAGGGCUUUGGUCACGCAGGUGGCGCAGCGCGUGGAGGACGUGUGGCUGAUGGUGUCGGUGAAGCGCGCGUCACUGCAGCGCGCCGCCGCCCGCCCCGCGCGCCCCGUGCACGCCGUGCCGCCGCACAGCGCCGCCGCCACGCACCAGCAGAUGGAGACCUCUGGCGGCUCGGAAAGCUCGGGCGGAGAGGACGCGGAGGCGCGGCGGUCGCGGCGAGGGCAUGUCCUGGCUGAACUGCUGCAGACAGAACGAGUCUACGUGCAGGAACUGGGCUCUAUACUUACCGGUUACAAAGAAGAGAUAGAGAAGCCAGAGAACCAGCACUUAUUGCCUCCGACGCUGGUGGGUCAAGCGGACGUGCUGUUUGGCAACUUGCACGAACUAUUCACGUUUCAUCAAGACAUAUUCCUCAAGGACCUGGAGCGGUCGAUAUCAGCCACUGAACUUGUUGCUUUAUGCUUUGUUGAAAAGAGAGAAACGUUCUUCAGACUGUACAGCUAUUACUGCCAGAACAUCCCUCGCUCUGAACGACUACGGGAGACGUUGGUGGACACACAUCUAUUCCUGCAGGCGUGUCAGUUGCGCCUCGGUCAUAAACUACCCCUCGCUGCCUACCUCCUUAAACCAGUGCAGAGGAUUACCAAGUACCAGCUGUUGUUAAAGGACCUCCUCCGCUACGGCGAGUGCGGGUCGAUGACGACGGGCCUGCAGCAGGCGCUGGACUGCAUGCUCGUCGUGCUCAAGUGCGUCAACGACUCCAUGCACCAGAUCGCCAUUACUGGGGUCCCUGUGGACCUAUCACAACAAGGCGAGCUGCUGAUGCAGGGCUCGUUCCUCGUGGUCUCGGAGAACAAGCGCGACCUGCGGCUGCGGAUACGGCCGCGUCGCCGGCACAUAUUCCUUUACGAGAAGGCGAUGCUCUUCUGCAAACCAGCCACCAAGAACAGCCACAACAAAGCCACCUAUCACUUCAAACACGACUUGUUGAUGUCACAAAUAGGUCUAACAGAGUCGGUGAAGGGCGACCAGCGCAAGUUCGAGGUGUGGCGGCAGGGCCGGGCGGAGGUGCACACGAUCACGGCGUCCACUGUCGAGGUGAAACGCGCCUGGGUCGAGCGCAUCAAGCGGGUCCUGCUCGACCAACUCAAGGAGCUGAAGGGAGAGAGGGUUCGGCAGUAUGGUGCGCAGCAUCACAGGACACUAAUUCAAACGAGUUCGUGGGAGCUGGGCCCGGGCGGCCCCCCGCGGCCGCAGCCGCCGCCCGCCAACCCGGCGCGCACCGCCUCGUGCGACACGCACGACGAGCCGUGCUGGUCCACCGACCCCUCCGACGACGACGACGACGAGCCCGAGCACGCGCCGGUGACGGAGGCCGUCGGUCUCAACGGUACCAUACACAGAAUGGUACAGUUCUUUUCGGUAUCGGGCUCUGCGCAAGCCACGUCCACGUUUUACGUGUCUCAGUACUGAAUGUAUUAUAACUAUACGAGCAUACGGCCAGUAGAGGCUUUGUACAUAAUGAAAGAGACUGAGUUUAUAUCCAAAGCUUAGUACGUAACCAAAGAGAACGUGGAUAUUUCGAUUGUAUUCGCUGAACAUUUACUAUCGUGCGGUGGGGUGCGCGCUGGUGGCGCUGUCGGACUACACCGCCGUGGGGCCCAGCGAGGUGUCGCUGCGGGAGGGACAGCACGCCGAGCUGCUUAAGGUGGGCUGCGCCGGCUGGUGGUACGUGCGGCUUGCAGCAGGUCACGGCGAGGGCUGGGCGCCGGCGGCGUACUUGGACCAGCGCAAGACGUCGCGGUCCUCCAGCCGCUCGCACGACCGACUGCACGACCACUGAACACAUCACUCGACACAUUGUCGAUGUCCAUCGGUUCUCACGUCUAGUGCGAGGUGUCCGGGGAGUAGCCCGACGCUCGCUACGCCGCGCCGAGCUCGCGACCCCGCGGUAGUGUUAGAUGUAUAUAUAGGUAGCGCAGCCUUCGACCCAAAGUAUGACAAUAGACAGUCCCGCAGCCAGUCGUGUCUCUUUUCAUAGUUGGUGUAAGAAUGUUUGAAGAGUAAAGUGCCUGAAUACGUUUUGUCCUCGGUGGUUUUGUUAGAUAUCGAUAGUCGCGAAUGUUUCAGAGAGCAUUAUAUUAGUUGUAAUCGGCACAUAACGAUCGACGCCCCGUCACCGCACUCGUUAACAUUUAUGUCGAAGUAAAGAUGUUUGUUAAUGUAUGUAAAUGUUGUUCUAAAAGCUUUAUUGUAAUUUAGUCGUAGCCAUAGUUGUGUUGACGUUACGAUUAUCCAAAGCUAUGUAUAGUGGCAUAGGACGUUGUUAAGUAUUCGUGACAGGUUACGUAUACCUUUUUGUAUAUAAUCUACGUAAUUAUUUUUAACUGUAGUUAUUUAUUUGGAUGCUAGACGAGCUUUCGGUGUUAAUUCGUGUUUUCGUCUCAAUUUUCCAUGACAUUUGUGAAUUGUAUAUUGUUUUAUCCGUACAGUUGGAAAUCUGUGUAUUUAUGUAAAACGUCACCCUGUAGAUGCUACAGGGUGAUCGGUUAGUUUUCAUAUCAUUUAUUAUUGUCAUAUCUCGACGUCAAGUGACCGUAGCUUCAUUAUGCGAUGCGUAUAGAAAUGUAAGAUGAAAUGAUGUAUUACAAAAUGUUAACUUUAAGUAAGUAUUACCUGCAUGAAAUAGCAAAGUAUUAGAAAAUGUUACUUUUUUAUGAGAACAAAUUAAAAGUAAUAAUUCAUUCGAGCCAUGCAUAUCAUUGAAAUUAUUUUUGCUGUAUUAUAUUGGUUAAUUUCGUUCGGGCGCAGAAACUGACCAUCAUUAUGUUUGACAUUAUUAUGAAUUUUAAAUUGAUUUUGUUAGUGUAAAACUACGUAUUCGAGCUGAUCACAAUUACACAGAUUUUAUCCAUC